ACGCUGGCGGCACGCCUAACACAUGCAAGUCGAACGAAGUAGCAAUACUUAGUGGCAGACGGGUGAGUAACAUGUAGGUAUCUGCCCUUUGGCCUGGAAUAACACGAGGAAACUUGUGCUAAUACCGGAUAAGUCUUUACGGAGAAAGCUUUAUGCACCAUUGGAUGAGCCUGCACUUGAUUAGUUUGUUGGUGGGGUAAUGGCCUACCAAGACUUUGAUCAAUAGCUGAUUUGAGAGGAUGAUCAGCCACAUUGGGACUGAGACACGGCCCAAACUCCUACGGGAGGCAGCAGUGGGGAAUCUUGCACAAUGGAGGAAACUCUGAUGCAGCGAUGCCGCGUGAGUGAAGAAGGCCCUUGGGUUGUAAAGCUCUUUCGUCGGGGAAGAAAAUGACUGUACCCGAAUAAGAAGGUCCGGCUAACUUCGUGCCAGCAGCCGCGGUAAUACGAAGGGACCUAGCGUAGUUCGGAAUUACUGGGCUUAAAGAGUUCGUAGGUGGUUGAAAAAGUUGGUGGUGAAAUCCCAGAGCUUAACUCUGGAACUGCCAUCAAAACUUUUCAGCUAGAGUUUGAUAGAGGAAAGCAGAAUUUCUAGUGUAGAGGUGAAAUUCGUAGAUAUUAGAAAGAAUACCAAUUGCGAAGGCAGCUUUCUGGAUCAUUACUGACACUGAGGAACGAAAGCAUGGGUAGCGAAGAGGAUUAGAUACCCUCGUAGUCCAUGCCGUAAACGAUGUGUGUUAGACGUUGGAAAUUUAUUUUCAGUGUCGCAGCGAAAGCGAUAAACACACCGCCUGGGGAGUACGACCGCAAGGUUAAAACUCAAAUGAAUUGACGGGGACCCGCACAAGUAGUGGAGCAUGUGGUUUAAUUCGAAGAUACGCGCAGAACCUUACCAACACUUGACAUGUUCGUCGCGACUCUAAGAGAUUAGAGUUUUCGGUUCGGCCGGACGAAACACAGGUGCUGCAUGGCUGUCGUCAGCUCGUGUCGUGAGAUGUUGGGUUAAGUCCCGCAACGAGCGCAACCCUCACUUUUAGUUGCCAUCAUUAAGUUGGGCACUCUGAAAGAACUGCCAGUGAUAAGCUGGAGGAAGGUGGGGAUGACGUCAAGUCCUCAUGGCCCUUACGUGUUGGGCUACACACGUGCUACAAUGGUAUCUACAACAGGAAGCAAGGCGGCGACGUCAAGCAAAUCCUUAAAAGAUACCUCAGUUCGGAUUGCACUCUGCAACUCGAGUGCAUGAAGCUGGAAUUACUAGUAAUCGUGGAUCAGCGUGCCACGGUGAAUGCGUUCCCGGGUCUUGUACUCACCGCCCGUC
RNAcentral lists this ribosomal RNA (1318 nucleotides) under uncultured Alphaproteobacteria bacterium. Its description in RNAcentral is "uncultured alpha proteobacterium 16S ribosomal RNA". It matches the Rfam family "Bacterial small subunit ribosomal RNA", at positions 33 to 1398 of the family's 1533-position model. The record is from RNAcentral. Lineage: Bacteria; Pseudomonadati; Pseudomonadota; Alphaproteobacteria.